Molecule: long non-coding RNA, 2312 nt
Organism: Daphnia magna
Lineage: Eukaryota; Metazoa; Arthropoda; Branchiopoda; Diplostraca; Daphniidae
Exons: 14
Source: RefSeq, a predicted model, not a curated record
CCAUGUCGUGAACCAACCAAACCAGCCAACCAGGGUUCUAUGACUCUGUUCAAAUGUUAAAAAUUAUUUUUUUUAAAUACAAAGUAUAAAACGUGCACCAUCGCCUUUUCCGGAGAGGGAAACGAUUCGUGGGUGGGGAACCGACUUGAUACCGUGUGCUGAAACCCAUAAUAGUGUCACUUGAUUAUCUGGAUUCAUCAGCUUUACAUCGUGUUUCCUCUAAGAUGUAAAUUGCAAUGUAGGAGGAUCCCACGCUUUUUGGUGCUAUGUAUCUGUGGUGGCUGCUAAAUGUACGUUGCCUCAUUUGUUUUGAAAGUUGUCUGGGAAGUAGUGAGGGCUAACCACAUAACAACAAAAGGUGUGUAUUACGUGUUGGGUAAAUGGUUUGUUUUUGUAUGAUGAUUUGUUAUCCCUGGCAUACAACACCUUGGUGAUAAUUCAACAAUGUGUUGGGUUUGUUCGUGUGGGGUCAUGAGGUGGCCAGGUUUUUCCUGUGGUUGCUGCCUGGAGAAUUUACAUGGAGGUAGGGCUCGGCCCCGAUUACCCGAGAACCAGCUUUCUACUGGAAUAUACUGGCGCGACACACAUAAAAUUUUGUUUUUAAAGUUUUCGUUGUUGAUUAGCGCCAGUACCUUCCGGUAGUAAGCUGGUUCUCGGGUAGUCGGGGUAGAUCCCUACAUGGAGGCUUUGCGUGGUGAAAUGGUGUUCAAUGUUACCAACUUCCGUCAUUUUGGUUCCAUUCUGGGGAUGCAUCAGUUUCGUUCCAGGAUUUGUCGGCGUUAGUUUUUCGUCGCCAGUUCGUGACGCUGUUUCAAACGGGUAAUUAUGUUGACAUCACUUUGUCUUGAUCCCGAUCGCUACGCCUCUCCAUAUCCAGUAGGAAGAAAGGUUGUGCCGUAUACGGGGUAGCAGUUUGACAGCGCCUUUAUCCUGUUUUUUUUUUAAAUACUACUCUUUGUAGGGUUGGGUUAGUCUCUGGUGACUGUUGCGGUGGAUUCCGUACCUUAGGUCCUGGGUUUAGCGCAUGUGCGAUGGGUCAUCGCAUUUGUAAUACGUCAUGCGGAUAGCCCAGUGUCGUUGUUCGACGCUUGAGUCUGCUGUGGCGAUUUUUUGUUGGUGUUUCCUUACGGGUUUGGUGUUAAUUUCUUCGUAGGGUUGCGGCAAUCUCUGAUCCUCUCGUCGAGCAGUUCGCUUUCACUCCUCAGGUUUUUGGUUGCUGAAUUUCGCGUAUGAUUAGUCGUUCAGCAUGUCACAUACUGAGCUGGUUGCCGUUGUUCGUGUUCUCUUGGUAUUAAUUAAUUCUUUCCCAUUUUGUUGUUUGAGUGAUAAUUUCCUAUACCGCCUCAGGCCGAAGAAUAGUGUUGAAUGGUUUUCCUUAAUGACGACCGUUAGCUUCAUUCAGGGAUUGUUCAUUUUGUUUUGAAGAUUAUGAUGUCAUGUUAAAUUUUGCUUAGAGUUUGCUGUGGGGAUUUUUAAAUAAAAAAUAAGCACGUUCAUUCCCUUCAACCAAUUGUCAACGCGAGGGAAUUUCCCUUACGACACUUUCAUUGUAGCUGGCAGUGACCGUAAUUAUGGCUUACUUAGCCCAUACUUAUCAAGACCUGCCCUCUUGGUUCUCCGACCUAAAAACUAUCAUCUUCAAAAACUUCCAGGUUUGUUAUGGUCGUAGAACAGCAGACGACGGAGUUCAAAGCGGUAUUGUACCAUCGGGCAGAACCCAAACGGUCGAUGCAUUGAAAAUGUCGGAUCUCUGUUGAUGAAUUUUCACCAGCACUCUUCUACAAGACGCAUGUGAAGCAAACGAUAGCGAAGGAGAUAUGAACUUGAAUUGGUUGUUUACAACCCAUGGCUUUCCCGCAUUCCAGGAUUAGUAUUAUACACCUUUCGCACUUGUACAGAGCGUUCGGAAACAAAAUUAGUUGUGAAUGGGUUUGCUGUUGACAAGCAAGGGAAGGAUUUGGAUUUUUACCAAACUAGACAAGAAUGAAAUUUCUUGUGGCUGAUGGUCUUGUUGACUGACAAGGAAGGAUUUUUUAAACCAAAGUAGACAGGAUAUUUAUUCUAAAUCCUACAAUGUCCUGGUAAUAAAUCACAUGAAAAAUGCUAAAAGGAUUUCGCUGUAUUAAGUAUAUGUUUCAGCAAAAUUUUCAUGCUAAUUCGUGUUUUUUCUUCAAUGUAGACUACAAAUCAUACUGAAUUAGAAUUUUAACUGAGGCUGGGUGCCAAAACAAUGGAAGUGCGAUUGGAAAUAUCCAUGAUUUAUUAACGUUCUCUCAUGUUACGGUGUUUUAUUAAAGGCAAAUUGAAGUGCA